This 576-nucleotide ribosomal RNA is filed under the name Triticum aestivum (bread wheat). RNAcentral's name for it is "partial small subunit ribosomal RNA". The record is from RNAcentral. Lineage: Eukaryota; Viridiplantae; Streptophyta; Magnoliopsida; Poales; Poaceae.
AUGUUGUCAACGAGUGGUUUUGGGUGGGAUUGGAUCCAUAACAAGCUUAUGGUUGAUAGUGAGGACGUGUGGAGCAACUAUGUCAAGGCAAACAAAGAUGCCGCUUGCUACAGGCACAAUGUCACAAAGUUUUGGGACUCAAUCAGCCUUGUCUUCUCGAAGGAUCAUGCCACGGGAAUCGGAGCCAGAACCGCCGCUGAAAGUGUUGCGGAAAUGGCUGCGGAGAAUGUGAACAAUGUCAACAUCGAGUCUGCCGUGACAUCUUCUACUCAAACCGGUGAGGAAUAGAAGAAGAAAAGAUACCGAUCAGAUGACUCAAUUGCAUCUAUACUUGGUGAAAAACUGGAUAAUUUUACAAGCGCCUACAAAGCCGAUAUUGCUCAAGUUGUUCCUCGCGAUAAACCCUCCUCUCCUAAAGAAAUACUUGAUGCUCUCAAUGCAAUUGCUGGACUUGAUGAUGAUGACUUGCUGGCAGCUUAUGAUAUCCUCAUAGCAGAUGACCGCAAGUUCAAGGCUCUUAUGGCUCUGCCUGAAAGAAUGAAGAAUAAAUGGAUCCUCAAACAAAUCAGCCAAUGA